UACGAAGGGGGCUAGCGUUGCUCGGAAUCACUGGGCGUAAAGCGCACGUAGGCGGAUCUUUAAGUCAGGGGUGAAAUCCCAAGGCUCAACCUUGGAACUGCCUUUGAUACUGGGGAUCUCGAGUCCGGAAGAGGUUGGUGGAACUCCGAGUGUAGAGGUGAAAUUCGUAGAUAUUCGGAAGAACACCAGUGGCGAAGGCGGCCAACUGGUCCGGCACUGACGCUGAGGUGCGAAAGCGUGGGGAGCGAACGGG
RNAcentral lists this ribosomal RNA (253 nucleotides) under uncultured bacterium. RNAcentral's name for it is "partial 16S ribosomal RNA". It matches the Rfam family "Bacterial small subunit ribosomal RNA", at positions 524 to 776 of the family's 1533-position model. The record is from RNAcentral.